UACGUAGGUGACCAGCGUUGUCCGGAUUUACUGGGCGUAAAGAGCGCGCAGGCGGUCGUUCAAGUCGAGUGUGAAAGCCCCCGGCUCAACUGGGGAGGGUCAUUCGAUACUGAUCGACUCGAAGGCAGGAGAGGGAAGUGGAAUUCCCGGUGUAGUGGUGAAAUGCGUAGAUAUCGGGAGGAACACCAGUGGCGAAGGCAGCUUUCUGGACAGUAACUGACUCUGAGGCACGAAGGCUAGGGGAGCGAACGGG
This 253-nucleotide ribosomal RNA is filed under the name uncultured bacterium. RNAcentral describes it as "partial 16S ribosomal RNA". It matches the Rfam family "Bacterial small subunit ribosomal RNA", at positions 524 to 776 of the family's 1533-position model. The record is from RNAcentral.